GGCCAGUUAGCUCAGUUGGUUACAGUGUAGUGCUAAUAACGCCAAGGUCGCGGGUUUUAUCCCCCUAUGGGCCA
This 74-nucleotide transfer RNA is filed under the name Loxodonta africana (African savanna elephant). It matches the Rfam family "tRNA". Rfam says of the family: Transfer RNA (tRNA) molecules are approximately 80 nucleotides in length. Their secondary structure includes four short double-helical elements and three loops (D, anti-codon, and T loops). Further hydrogen bonds mediate the characteristic L-shaped molecular structure. tRNAs have two regions of fundamental functional importance: the anti-codon, which is responsible for specific mRNA codon recognition, and the 3' end, to which the tRNAs corresponding amino acid is attached (by aminoacyl-tRNA synthetases). tRNAs cope with the degeneracy of the genetic code in two manners: having more than one tRNA (with a specific anti-codon) for a particular amino acid; and 'wobble' base-pairing, i.e. permitting non-standard base-pairing at the 3rd anti-codon position. Lineage: Eukaryota; Metazoa; Chordata; Mammalia; Proboscidea; Elephantidae. The record is from Rfam by way of RNAcentral.